This 266-nucleotide ribosomal RNA is filed under the name uncultured bacterium. RNAcentral describes it as "partial 16S ribosomal RNA". It matches the Rfam family "Bacterial small subunit ribosomal RNA", at positions 57 to 305 of the family's 1533-position model. The record is from RNAcentral.
GCAAGUCGAACGAGAAAGUUUCCUUCGGGAAAUGAGUAGAGUGGCGCACGGGUGAGUAACGCGUAGGUAAUCUACCCUUAUAUUUGGGAUAACAGACCGAAAGGUCUGCUAAUACCGGAUACCCUUUUGGUUAUGCGAAUAGCCUUGAGGAAAGGUGGCCUCUUCUUGAAAGCUACCGUAUAGGGAUGAGCCUGCGUACCAUUAGCUAGUAGGUGGGGUAACGGCCCACCUAGGCGACGAUGGUUAGCGGGUCUGAGAGGAUGAUC